RNAcentral lists this long non-coding RNA (528 nucleotides) under Phasianus colchicus (ring-necked pheasant). RNAcentral's name for it is "lncRNA (ENSPCLG00000016547.1)". The record is from RNAcentral. Lineage: Eukaryota; Metazoa; Chordata; Aves; Galliformes; Phasianidae.
UAUAGGGCCAUUAUAGGGCAGUUAUGGGGCCAUUAUAGGGCCAUUAUAGGGCCAUUAUAGGGCUGUUAUGGGGCCAUUAUAGGGCCAUUAUAGGGCAGUUAUGGGGCCAUUAUAGGGCUGUUAUAGUGCAGCUAUGGGGCAGCUAUGGGGCAGCUGUGGGGCAGCUAUGGGGCAGCUAUGGGGCCAUUAUAGGGCCAUUAUAAGGCUGUUAUGGGGCCAUUAUAGGGAUGUUAUAGGGUUGUUACGGGGCGGCUAUGGGGCAGCUGUGGGGCAGCUGUGGGGCAGCUAUGGGGCAGCUAUGGGGCAGCUAUGGGGCAGUUAUGGGGCAGCUAUGAGGCUAUUAUAGAGCAGCUAUGAUGCCAUUACAGGGCCAUUAUAGGGCAGUUAUGGGGCCAAUAUAGGGCUGUUAUAGGGCAGCUGUGGGGCAGCUAUAGGGCAGCUAUGGGGCAGCUGUGGGGCAGCUAUGGGGCGGUUAUGGGGCAGCUAUAGGGCAGCUAUGGGGCAGCUGUGGGGCAGCUAUAGGGCAGC